Molecule: ribosomal RNA, 438 nt
Filed under: uncultured bacterium
Lineage: Bacteria
Description: bacterial SSU rRNA
Rfam family: Bacterial small subunit ribosomal RNA
Source: RNAcentral
AGAGUUUGAUCCUGGCUCAGAAUCAACGCUGGCGGCGUGCCUAACACAUGCAAGUCGAACGAGAAAGUGGUAGCAAUACCAUGAGUAAAGUGGCGCACGGGUGAGUAACACGUGACUAACCUACCCUGGAGUGGGGGAUAACUGAGGGAAACCUUAGCUAAUACCGCAUAAUACCCACGGGUCAAAGGAGCAAUUCGCUUUGGGAGGGGGUCGCGGCCGAUUAGUUAGUUGGCGGGGUAACGGCCCACCAAGACGAUGAUCGGUAUCCGGCCUGAGAGGGCGCACGGACACACUGGAACUGAAACACGGUCCAGACUCCUACGGGAGGCAGCAGUGGGGAAUUUUGCGCAAUGGGGGAAACCCUGACGCAGCAACGCCGCGUGGAGGAUGAAGUCCUUCGGGACGUAAACUCCUUUCGAUCGGGACGAUUAUGACGGU